CGCAUGGUGGCUUAGUGGUUAGCACGUUCGCCUCACACCUCCAGGGUCCGAGGUUCGAUUCCCGCCAGGUGA
Non-coding RNA from Ameiurus melas (black bullhead), 72 nucleotides. Lineage: Eukaryota; Metazoa; Chordata; Actinopteri; Siluriformes; Ictaluridae. The record is from the annotation of a GenBank genome assembly.